CUCAAAAUCCCUUUAAGAGUGAAGAUUUUCCUUUGGUUUUUUAACAGAGGAGUCAUCCUUACUAAAGAUAAUCUGACUCGACGAAACUGGCAUGGUUCCAAGACAUGUAUCUUUUGCCAACAUGACGAGUCUAUUAAACAUUUAUUUUUUGAGUGUAGGUUCGCUUGGGCAGUUUGGGCCAUAGUUCAAGUAGUUUCGAAUCUAUACCCACUACGUAGUGUACGGAACAUGUUCGGCAACUGGUUGCGGGGUGGGUAUUGA
This 261-nucleotide ribosomal RNA is filed under the name Triticum aestivum (bread wheat). RNAcentral's name for it is "partial small subunit ribosomal RNA". The record is from RNAcentral. Lineage: Eukaryota; Viridiplantae; Streptophyta; Magnoliopsida; Poales; Poaceae.